GACGAACGCUGGCGGCGUGCUUAACACAUGCAAGUCGAACGGAAAGGCCCUGCUCGCAGGGUGCUCGAGUGGCGAACGGGUGAGUAACACGUGGGUGAUCUGCCCCUUAUUUUGGGAUAAGCCUGGGAAACUGGGUCUAAUACUGGAUAGGACCAUGCUGUAGGUGGUGUGGUGGAAAGAUUAGUUUCGGUAAGGGAUGAGCUCGCGGCCUAUCAGCUUGUUGGUGGGGUAAUGGCCUACCAAGGCGUCGACGGGUAGCCGGCCUGAGAGGGUGGACGGCCACAUUGGGACUGAGAUACGGCCCAGACUCCUACGGGAGGCAGCAGUGGGGAAUAUUGCACAAUGGGCGCAGGCCUGAUGCAGCGACGCCGCGUGGGGGAUGACGGCCUUCGGGUUGUAAACUCCUUUCAGCCAUGACGAAGCCCUUGUGGUGACGGUAGUGGUAGAAGAAGCACCGGCUAACUACGUG
This 469-nucleotide ribosomal RNA is filed under the name uncultured bacterium. Its description in RNAcentral is "partial 16S ribosomal RNA". It matches the Rfam family "Bacterial small subunit ribosomal RNA", at positions 28 to 507 of the family's 1533-position model. The record is from RNAcentral.